AGCAAAUGUAACUCUGGAGAAGCUGUUUUUUGUUAAAGGGCAUUGCCAGAAGUUAAGGGCCAGGGCCAUCACCCCAGAGUAGGUAGCCAUGUACAUUUCUGUGAUUUAUACCUGUGGAUAGCAGAAGAGAUGAACGGAGAUAAGGUACAAGCAAAGUCGGCUGGGCAUCCAGGUUUCCUACCUCUUACUCUACCUCACUACUAUAUUUUCCUCAUUUCCAAAGUUCCAGUUACAAAAGGCCAUUUGUGUAAGGACAUGUUUGAAGAUCUUGUAGACAGAAUCUGGAAGCUGUGAAGGAGAAGCAUUUAUGAGUAACAGAAAUCGGUAGCUAAACGAAGGCAGCAAAGAAUCCUGCACUAUUCCAUGAUACUGGGCUCAGGACAGGUAAGCCAUACAAGCUCCUUUCAACCUUCCCAGGGAAGAAUGUUAUGCCAUCGAAAAUUACUAGGAAGCUUUCUUACAGGAGAAGAAAAUAAGUUUCUCGAUUGCUUUAAAAAAUUACCUAGAAAAUCAACCCCUUACUUUCUCAUGGCAACUGAAAUAAAUGUAUACGUCAAUGAAAAGAAAUGUAAAUCAAUUUCAAUGUCUUCAUGGAGCUGCAAACUUUGUUAUUGUCCCUCUAGUACAAUAUAGAUUCCAUAAACCAUGUCGAAGGAGACAGAAGAAAUUACUUCCAUGUGAUAUGUUCAGUUGGAUGAGACUUUUUAGGCUUUUGUAUUCUACUUUAUAAGUGCAUUCUAAUUUAAAUGCAUUCUUAAGCAUACCAAAAUAAAAC
This 775-nucleotide long non-coding RNA is filed under the name Vulpes vulpes (red fox). RNAcentral describes it as "lncRNA (ENSVVUG00000007621.1)". Lineage: Eukaryota; Metazoa; Chordata; Mammalia; Carnivora; Canidae. The record is from RNAcentral.